Molecule: ribosomal RNA, 239 nt
Filed under: uncultured bacterium
Lineage: Bacteria
Description: partial 16S ribosomal RNA
Rfam family: Bacterial small subunit ribosomal RNA
Source: RNAcentral
GAUCAUGGCUCAGGAUGAACGCUGGCGGCGUGCCUAACACACGCAAGUCGAGCGAAGCACUUUGCUUAGAUUCUUCGGAUGAAGAGGAUUGUGACUGAGCGGCGGACGGGUGAGUAACGCGUGGGGUAACCUGCCUCAUACAGGGGGUAUAACAGUUAGAAAUGACUGCUAAUACCGCAUAAGACCACAGCACCGGCAUGGUGCGGGGGUAAAAACUCCGGUGGUAUGAGAUGGACCCG